UUUGCCUUAACUUCCUCAGGUGACAGCCAAAUGCAUACAGACCCAAGGAGGGUAUAUAGGUAGUUUGUCCAUGAUGACACUACUCUGCUGACUGUCGAGGAAUGAAUUCUAAACCGAUGUCCUAAGUCUCUCUCCUUCAGACCAACAGAAAGAUGGACAAGGAAUAGGAAGAACUCAUCUAUUGGCUGCAGUACCUGCCUCUGUGGAUUUGAUAGACAUAUUGUAAAUUUGUCUCAAUCCACAAACCCAAA
Molecule: long non-coding RNA, 251 nt
Organism: Alosa alosa (allis shad)
Lineage: Eukaryota; Metazoa; Chordata; Actinopteri; Clupeiformes; Clupeidae
Exons: 3
Source: RefSeq, a predicted model, not a curated record